This 1126-nucleotide long non-coding RNA is filed under the name Gopherus agassizii (Agassiz's desert tortoise). RNAcentral describes it as "lncRNA (ENSGAGG00000020507.1)". The record is from RNAcentral. Lineage: Eukaryota; Metazoa; Chordata; Testudines; Testudinidae.
CUUGUCUCCAGGUGACUCUCUGUUUCUGUGAUGUAUGGAUGUGCAUUACCGAAGGAAAGGAACUGCCUGGCACUAAACUUUGAGCUGGGACAGAUGGGGAUGAGAGGCGGUGGGUUGCUUCGUCAACUCCUUUUCACGGAUGGAUCAGAGCCAUUACUUGUUCAGAUUAGCUGAGAAAUCUGGCACAAGGCAAUCUUCAGCUCCUGGCCAUUUUCUCCGCUAUUAAUUCACUACUGAGCAGAGGUUAUUCCUGAGGACUAUACUCAUCCUCUGGGGAGGAGUGAAGAAGUUAUUUCUGUCUGCAGAGUGCACUUCCCACUAUGUGGAACUAAUGCUCCAAGACUGGCUCGGCUCUGAAUGGUGUCUCUAAAUCCAGGGAAAGGAGAAAGCUGCUGCAACUGAGGGACCCAGACAUGUACUGCUGAAUGAAGAGACCCUGCAAACACUGCAGCCAAUGCCCGAGCCCUACUAGGGGCAAUUGUCAGAGAGCAAGUCUGCUGCAUGCUUUAGUCAUCAGGGAAAGCAAGAAAAUGAGCAUUCACUGGGAGAUUUAAUUCAUCAGCUCUGGUGGGAUUGUUGUGCGGACAAAAGAAACAUAUGAUUCCAGGGCGAAAGAUUUCCAGUUUGCUCUGAAGAUCAACCACACUGGGGCCCAAGUGCUGCCCAUGCUCCACAGCACAGUGCCCUGGUGAGUAUGCUCAACAUCUUCUGCUAAAGCUCUCAGGAUCCAUAUCUGGAAUCUCAAGAGCCCCUCGGAGAAAUUUUCCGAUGUGAGUUCAGUUAAAGUAUCCCUGUUGUUACUAAGCNCCCUGGUGAGUAUGCUCAACAUCUUCUGCUAAAGCUCUCAGGAUCCAUCUCUGGAAUCUCAAGAGCCCCUCGGAGAAAUUUUCCGAUGUGAGUUCAAUUAAAGUAUCCCUGUUGUUACUCAGCAGCAGCAGCAGCAGCCCCAUGACUCCAGCUUGCUCUUUGAGUCCUGCCUUUCUUACAUCACUCCAACUGGCAUUACAUGCAACCAAACAGGGAUCAUGUGAUGGUCAAUGCCACUGCUUGGACCAUUACUAAUUCCCAGUCUUGCUCUGUUGCAAUCAGCUGAAAAGUUCUGCUCUACAUAGCUCUUCUGAGUGAC